CAGCCACAGCAACCCCAGAUCCGAGCCACGUCUGCGACCUACACCACAGCUCAUAGCAAUGACCUACAGCACAGCUCACGGCAACGCCGGGUCCUUAACCCACUGAGCAAGACCAGGGAUUGAAUCUGCGUCCUCAUGGAUACUGGUCAGAUUUGUUUCCACUGUGCCCCCAUGGGAACUCCUGGCUGGCCCUCCUUGGUGACAAGGGCUGGCGGAAGUGUGUUUGGGUGUGGGCACACCUGGACACAGAGUCCAGCUGGCUCCAUGAGUGACCUUGUGAGUCUCAGACUGACAACGACCCUGAGUGGGUGACCCCGGGCUGCCUGUGUGUUUGGCUGUAAGUGUCCUGUCAUUGUGCCUUUGUUCCCGGGAGUGACGUGAUGUGUGACAUCUUUCCAGAGGACCCUGUGGGAUUCCGUAGAGACCUGGCUACGCGCAUGUAAGGGGGUAUUUCUGAGGGACUCUGCGGUUUGUCCAUCCCUGUGGUACUGCAGCUGACCUCUUGCAACCUGUUUACUCCAGCUGUCUCUGCAUCUCUGUGUGUGUGGCAUUUUGAGUGUUGCUGACUUUGAGACCACCAGUUACCAUGUAAUUGUUUCUAUGUGACUGCCUCCCUUGCUGCGUCACAUGUUUCUCAGGGGCUCCAGGACCCCCUGACACACAUAUAUUUUUGACUUUCUGAACACCUCUCUUAUGUAUCAAUCAGGGUUUGCAUAUAUUUCCUUUUGCCACUGUAACAAAACACCACAAAUUCAGUGGUUUAAGACAGGACUAACAAGGAGUUCCUGUCGUGGCUCAGCCGUAUCUGACUAGCAUCCAUGAGGAUGCGGGUUUGAUCCCUGGCCUUGCUCAGUGGGUUAAGGAUCCAGUGUCGCCGUGAGCUGUGGUAUAUAUUGCAGCCGCGGCUCUAUCCUGUGUUGCUGUCACUGUGGUGUAGGCCGGCAGCUGCAGCUCCAACUCGGCCCCUAGCCUGGGAAUUUCCAAAUGCCUUGGGUGCGGCCCUAAAAAGACAAAAAACAAACACACACACAAAAAACACAAACGCAUCCUCUUACAGUUCUGGAGGGCAGAAGUCCGAAAUCAGUUUCACUGGACCAAAGUCACAGUGUCAGCAGGGCUGGUUCCUUCUGGGGAUUCCAGGGGAGAAUCUGUUCCCUUGCGUUAUCCAGCUCCUAGAGGCCACCUGCAUCCCUUGGCUGGUGGCCCCUUCCUUGUCUCACUCCAACUCCUUGCUUCCACCUGCACAUCUACUCUGAUCUCCUGCCUCCCUCUUAGGAGGCCCCAUUGAUUCCACGGGGCCUACCCUGAUAGCCUAGGAUAAGCCCCCCCUUCCAAAUCCUUAACUUCCCUUUUACCCUGUGAGGUGACGUUCACAGAGGCCAGGGAUGAGGGAUCAGGGUGUCAUAGCUCCUUGGGAGACUCGAUGCAGCCAAACCCAAGCCAAACAACAUUAGCAGGAGGUGGGUAUGUGGACCAGGGAUUUGGCACAGGGACGUGCCUGUCCGGAGGGAAGGGUGGACGUACAGUAUGGGGGAGGGGCAUCAGGGAUAAGCUGGAACCACCGAGAACAUGCUGGACCCCAUGUCAGCACCUCCCCACCCCACCCCCACCCCUGCUUCCAGCCUUGGUGAAAUGGGUGUCCUUUGAGAGAAGCUGGCAACCUUCGUCCCGUUCUGUCGGUCUUGGGUGACCAUGUGUUCCUGUGUUUCUGGGUGGUGGUGGGUGCUGUUUUUGCAAUCUGGGGGGCCUCCCUGGGCCUCUGGGUCUUUACAUGUCUUGGUGACUGUGAACAUUGCCGCUGCCAUGACUACAACAUGUUGUAUCUGUGGGGCCAAGUGCCUUACCGUUGGGUCCCGUGAAUGGCUGUGUAUGUGUGUUUGUGUGUGUGUGUGAACGUGCACUUCUGGGUCAGCUCCGACUGGGUGGCCCACAUUCGCCUGGCCCUCCUGACUUAAGUGGCCAUGCAUCUUUGUGACCACAUACCAGUGCUUCUGACCCUGCCUCUGGGCUAUGGUGUCCCUCUAGCUGCCUGACUUGGGAGAUACUAUGGCGUCUUAGGUCUGCCAUUAACAAAUGGCCACAAACCAUGUGGCUUGAAGCAGAAAUGGAUUCUCCCACAGUUCUGGAGGCCAGAAGUCCAAAAUCAAGGUGUCAGCAGGGCUACUCUUCCUGAAAAGACUCUAGGGAAGGAGCCUACCUUGCCUCUUCUGGCUUCUGUGGCUGGCGGGNNNNNNNNNNNNNNNNNNNUCCAGUUUCUCAUCUUCACAUGGCCUCCUCUGUGUGUCUGUCUUCUCUUCCAUCCCCUAUAAGGACUGUUGUCGUGGAUUUAGGGCUCAGGUGACGCAGGAUGAUAUCUUGAGAUCUGAACUUGAAUUGCAUUUGCAAAGACCCUUUUUCCAGAUAACGUCAGAUUCACAGGUUUGAGGGUGGAGUAGGUCGGGGACAUAUCUUUGUGGGAGACCACCACUCCACCCACUACAGAGGGUGACCGUCGGGCCCUGCAAGCAGCUGUGCAUGAGAACUUCUCAUGUGAUCGUCCCUCCUCGCAGGCAAGGUCAUGUGCAAUGGCUGUCUCUCCCGCAGACUCUGGGAGGGCACUUUCCUCUUGCUGCUCCACCCACAGCAGCCAGCAUGCUGCCUGCCUGGCAGGGAGCAGAUCCUGAGAAGAGAUGGUAAAGAGGAUGAGCCCCGGAGUUCCUGUUGUAGCUCAGUGGAAACAAAUCUGACUAGUAUCCAUGAGGAUGCAGGUUCGAUCCUUGGCCUCACUCAGUGGGUUAAGCAUCCAGCAUUGCCGGGAGCUGUGAUGCAGGUCAAAGACACGGCUCAGAUUCCACCUUGCUGUGGCUGUGGCUGUGGCAUAGGCCAGCAGCUGCAGCUCCGAUUUGACCCCAAGCCUAGAUCCAUAUGCCGCCGGUGUGGCCCUGAAAACCAAAAAAAAAAAAAAAAAAAAAUUGAGCCCUGUGCACUCCCCACCCCACCCCCACCUCUGCUGCCUUACAAUGUCUGCAAUUCUUUUUUUUCAUUAUUUUAAGAUUUUUAUUUUUUCUAUUAGAGUUGAUUU
RNAcentral lists this long non-coding RNA (3061 nucleotides) under Sus scrofa (pig). Its description in RNAcentral is "lncRNA (ENSSSCG00005041580.1)". Lineage: Eukaryota; Metazoa; Chordata; Mammalia; Artiodactyla; Suidae. The record is from RNAcentral.